UGGGGAAUUUUGGACAAUGGGCGAAAGCCUGAUCCAGCAAUGCCGCGUGUGUGAAGAAGGCCUUCGGGUUGUAAAGCACUUUUGUCCGGAAAGAAAUCCUUGGCUCUAAUACAGUUGGGGGAUGACGGUACCGGAAGAAUAAGCACCGGCUAACUACGUGCCAGCAGCCGCGGUAAUACGUAGGGUGCAAGCGUUAAUCGGAAUUACUGGGCGUAAAGCGUGCGCAGGCGGUUUGCUAAGACCGAUGUGAAAUCCCCGGGCUCAACCUGGGAACUGCAUUGGUGACUGGGCAGGCUAGAGUAUGGCAGAGGGGGGUAGAAUUCCACGUGUGAGCAGUGAAAUGCGUAGAGAUGUGGAGGAAUACCGAUGGCGAAGGCAGCCCCCUGGGCCAAUACUGACGCUCAUGCACGAAAGCGUGGGGAGCAAAACAGGAUUAGAU
This 439-nucleotide ribosomal RNA is filed under the name uncultured bacterium. RNAcentral describes it as "partial 16S ribosomal RNA". It matches the Rfam family "Bacterial small subunit ribosomal RNA", at positions 355 to 783 of the family's 1533-position model. The record is from RNAcentral.